This 491-nucleotide ribosomal RNA is filed under the name uncultured bacterium. RNAcentral's name for it is "bacterial SSU rRNA". It matches the Rfam family "Bacterial small subunit ribosomal RNA", at positions 16 to 507 of the family's 1533-position model. The record is from RNAcentral.
AUCCUGGCUCAGAUUGAACGCUGGCGGAAUGCUUACACAUGCAAGUCGAACGGUAGGAGGGGGCAACCCUUGAGAGUGGCGAACGGGUGAGUAAUAUAUCGGAACGUGCCCAGUCGUGGGGGAUAACGUAGCGAAAGCUACGCUAAUACCGCAUACGAUCUAUGGAUGAAAGCGGGGGAUCGCAAGACCUCGCGCGAUUGGAGCGGCCGAUAUCAGAUUAGGUAGUUGGUGAGGUAAAGGCUCACCAAGCCGACGAUCUGUAGCUGGUCUGAGAGGACGACCAGCCACACUGGGACUGAGACACGGCCCAGACUCCUACGGGAGGCAGCAGUGGGGAAUUUUGGACAAUGGGCGCAAGCCUGAUCCAGCAAUGCCGCGUGCAGGAUGAAGGCCUUCGGGUUGUAAACUGCUUUUGUACGGAACGAAACGGUGAGCUCUAAUACAGUUUGCUAAUGACGGUACCGUAAGAAUAAGCACCGGCUAACUACGUG